This 472-nucleotide long non-coding RNA is filed under the name Bos taurus (domestic cattle). RNAcentral's name for it is "long non-coding RNA NONBTAT015865". The record is from RNAcentral. Lineage: Eukaryota; Metazoa; Chordata; Mammalia; Artiodactyla; Bovidae.
CUUAAGCUAUCAUGCCCCAAAUAAAAUUUUCUGUGUACCCUUCAUAUAAACAUAUAGGACUUUAAACAUUUUCUUUUGGCCAAAAGUGAUCAUGUUUCUUCUAUUUAAACACAUGUUUUAGAAAAUUUACAGGCCUAAAAAAAGUUAAAGUCACAUUUUAAAAUUCCUCUUGCUUCCCAUCCCCCAGAAAAUUUACAUAUUAUAAUUAGAGCCAAUAUGAUGAAAGGAAUUUGAAUGAAGAAUAUUGCUUUACAAGAAACUGUUUCAGGAAUACCUCAUUUGCACAGAGUUAAAAAUAUUUUAAAAUCUGCAUAAAAAGAAUGCUGGUUUUUAUUAAAUGAGCAACUAAACUGAACUGAUGAAGAAGUAAAAAUUUGCCUCUCCUAUAGUUACACACCAUGUCUGCAUUGUUUAUUUCCAAUUUGUCAGGGAAUAACAAUUUCUAUGAUGUAAAUAAUUAUAUAACUGCUUG